RNAcentral lists this ribosomal RNA (206 nucleotides) under uncultured bacterium. RNAcentral describes it as "partial 16S ribosomal RNA". It matches the Rfam family "Bacterial small subunit ribosomal RNA", at positions 523 to 729 of the family's 1533-position model. The record is from RNAcentral.
CUACGUAGGGGGCAAGCGUUGUCCGGAUUUAUUGGGCGUAAAAGCGCGUGUAGGCGGCCAGAUAGGUCUGCUGUGAAACUCGAGGCUCAACCUCGAGCUGUCGGCGGAAACCAUCUGGCUAGAGUCCGGAAGAGGAGAGUGGAAUUCCUGGUGUAGCGGUGAAAUGCGCAGAUAUCAGGAAGACACCUAUGGCGAAGGCAGCUCUC